Molecule: long non-coding RNA, 3236 nt
Organism: Doryrhamphus excisus (bluestripe pipefish)
Lineage: Eukaryota; Metazoa; Chordata; Actinopteri; Syngnathiformes; Syngnathidae
Source: RefSeq, a predicted model, not a curated record
UCCACUCUACCACAAAUGAAUGGAACAGAGUGAAGUAUGCCUCAGAGCUGAAAGUCCGCUAUGAUAGGGCGCUAGAGAUGUGGGCGGGUCUAGGCAUACAAAAUAAUCGUAAAUCAUAAUUAUUUUAAUUCAGUCAAUAAAUAGCUCCGUUAGCUAGCUCCGUUAGCUAGCGGCCUGUCCUUUCCUAGCUGUCCUCAUUUUUUCUCCUUUUAUUUCCUGAAGCAACAGGGAAUUCGUGGCGGGGCGCACAGCUCAAUAAACCACAUGAAAGACCAUCAAGACCUUCUUUUAUACCCACCGCCACAACACAACGCAGAGAAAAGGAAGGGGGUUACACUAGCAUCACAUGCGAAAACGUAUACGUAUAUAUUUUUGAACUUAUGUUUUUGACAAAUUUAUUUCCCAAAGCAAAUUAAAAGAUACGUAGAAAUCCCACUAGACUGAUUUGGACCAUGAUAUUAGCUUGACAUCAGCGUGCAGUUACAACAAGUGCACAGAGGGGGGCAGUGUUGUACUCUUCCAGGUCCUGUGGUCUUGGCUGCUAAUGAGUCACCUCAGCAAUAGAGGACAAUGGAGACAUCCCAGUGUUGAUAAUAAAAAGGAGACAUGAGUUGGAAGGAAUCCAGACACUCCCAGAUGGAAUAACCUACUAGACUGUGGGAAGCGGUGCAUCAUUGGGUGGCUAGAACAAACACUGCACAAAAAGGCUGCAGGCUUCUCUUCCAUUCUUUCUUUUUUCUUGUUGUGUGAUGAAGUUCCAAGGCAUGAUUACACAUCACUGUGGGAGGAAAAAAAAUGAAUAUUUGUACUUGCGUUAUUGCGUUAUUGUUUGGGAGUAAUUGUAGCUGCAGGAAGUCGAGUCCUAAGUGAAACUGUCCAAACUUUGUCCAGUUUUAGGUUUUAAAAUCAUUGCUGGCAUUCUUAAAGGUAUCUAGAGCAGGGGUAGGAAACCUAUGGUUUGGGAGCUCGAUGUGGCUCUUUUGAUGACUGCAUCGGCUCCCAGACAUUUCAUAACUUUAAAUGCAUUUAUUUUUUAUUUUUACUGACAUUUGAAUGUAAAACAUAUAAAACUUUCUUAUGCAUUUUAAUCCAUCCAUUCAUUGUCUGGAGGGGUGGCCAGAGCCAACAAAGCAACAGAGGCUUAUAAACCCACCUAAUGUGGUUGCCAACAGCUGCACACAAUUCCACUGGGGUGAAGCGCCUGCAUCUUACACCCAGUGGAAGUGCAGCAUACCAAAGUAAGAGGCACAGGCGCAUGACGGUGUCCCCUCUCCAAGGAAUGGAUGCCAGACGGUGCCUAGUCCUGAAAGGUCCAGGGUGGGUGGAGGGAGGAACGGCAGUGUGAGGCAGUGGGUCGGUGCAAGGACAGGUCUGGAAUCGCUGCAGGUGGAGAGAAUGACAAGUGAGAACUUACAGAGGGAACUGUCGCAAUCAUACAAUCACGUGGACACGGUUUAUGAAUUAUUAAAUACCAUCUAUGACCUAUGAAAUAUGACUUUUAACCUCAAAGACGCCUCAUGUUUUCCAGACGUCCGUUCAUGAUUUCCGUCCCUGUGAGCUCAGUGGCGUGCGAUUGAUUUAUGAGUUACGACCUAUGAAAUAUGGUCCCGUGGUGUAUGGAAUGUAGCCUUUGACUUUCAGGGGUCAAAGAUCAAAUUUUAACAAGAUAAAAUUUGGAUUAGAACCCUACUCUCUUGAGUCACAUGACUUGGACUGUAAUUAGACUCAAGUAAGAUUUUGUUGACUUUGUAAUAUCAUCAAAGAGAAGUUGACUUGGACUUUGACGUCAGUGACUUGGUUCUCGACUCCGACUUUCAUCGAAUGACUUGAGAAUUUUACAGAUUUCCAUUGAGUAAAUGUGUAAAAUGUGUCCCCACUCAAAAUAUUCAUUUAAUUUCUAGCAAGAGAACAAACAACUAAUCAAAGGGGACCUAUGAUGCUUUCCCCUUUCUGACCUAUAAAUGUAGUUAGAAUGUUGGAUUCUGGUGUUAAACCAUGCCAAAGUUUCAGAUAUGAGGUUUGCCCAUAGACAUAAGCCCUGAAAGUUGGGGAUGGCUCUGAAUGCUUUCUUCCUUUCCAUGGGCGUUCCCGGGUACCAGCUGUGGGCCUGCCCUCCCCCCACUCUGCUGUUUGUCAAAGAUUUCCCCAUGUUAGCCCGAAGCUAACACUAAUGGCUUGAAGUUUGAAGUUGCCUAAAGAGGCAAACAUCAGGUAGAAUUUUAUUUAAUCAGUGGCCUAACGGCAUUUAAUUUGCGUAAGUAAGCGCUUGUCUGGGUAGUAUUAUAGCAUAGAGGAAACAAGGUUGCUAAUAGCCUUUUCCCACCACAAUCAGUGGCGCUAUCCAGGUUUCUUACACACUGGUAGUCCCGCAAAACACAUUAGACGUUACCGAUGCUGUAGAAAACUAAACGCUAAAAUGCUAAAGCUACUUACCAUUGAGAGACGUCUUGAAGUAACCUCUUAUCUUGAGAAACUUCAGACUGUCCAGUCUCUACUUCCGGAUCGGAAGUCCUUAUAUGCAUUCAGCAGUGCCGUUUAUUAUCAGCAACAGUUCGCGGCAAGUGUUUCUAUGCACUGCGCAGUGUGAUCAACCACAGCUGAGUGGGUGCGCCUGGAGGCGGGCCGUAGGUGGAAUACAUAAAAAUAGACACAGGAACCACAAAAUCCAAGGAAAUACAGCUUAAUAGGUGCAGAUUCUGGAAGAACUAGAAAGCUUUCUGUGCUGGUUAUUGUGUGUAGCUGCUCUAUAAGAGUCCACAACUCAAUACAAAGGGCCACAAAAUGAGCAUGAUAGGUCCCAUUAACGAAAAUGCGUACACCUUGCAUGGCUUCAGAAGUUAAUUUGUUGUCCUGGUUUGUACUGACUCAAUUUUGAAUGCUAUGUUAGCACUCUUUUUCCAAGACUACAUCUUGUAUGUAAAGAAACCUUGUAUUUGUAAAAUGUAACAGAUUGUUACAUUGUUAAAAUGACAUUCUAUUUGGUAACACUGAACAGUGAUAUGUAAAGAAUGAAACCUGUAUUGCUUUGACUUGAGACUUAGGAUGAAGGAUUUGAGACAUGAAAAACACUGAUUUUCUCCUGACUUUCUCUUCCUCUGACUGUUGCUGUCAUCGAUAAUGCUGUGUUUCACUUCGUUGACUUGAAGUCAAUUCCCACCCAAUGGCUCCGUUAUUAACUUGGGUACCAGUCCAGAUCCAGCAUCUCACCCGAAAUCUGGUGGUAUAGAAAGUGGUUG